AGAGUUUGAUCAUGGCUCAGAUUGAACGCUGGCGGCAUGCCUUACACAUGCAAGUCGAACGGUAACAGGUCUUCGGAUGCUGACGAGUGGCGAACGGGUGAGUAAUACAUCGGAACGUGCCCGAUCGUGGGGGAUAACGGAGCGAAAGCUUUGCUAAUACCGCAUACGAUCUACGGAUGAAAGCAGGGGACCGCAAGGCCUUGCGCGGACGGAGCGGCCGAUGGCAGAUUAGGUAGUUGGUGGGAUAAAAGCUUACCAAGCCGACGAUCUGUAGCUGGUCUGAGAGGACGACCAGCCACACUGGGACUGAGACACGGCCCAGACUCCUACGGGAGGCAGCAGUGGGGAAUUUUGGACAAUGGGCGAAAGCCUGAUCCAGCCAUGCCGCGUGCAGGAUGAAGGCCUUCGGGUUGUAAACUGCUUUUGUACGGAACGAAAAGACUCCUUCUAAUAAAGGGGGUCCAUGACGGUACCGUAAGAAUAAGCACCGGCUAACUACGUGCCAGCAGCCGCGGUAAUACGUAGGGUGCAAGCGUUAAUCGGAAUUACUGGGCGUAAAGCGUGCGCAGGCGGUUAUAUAAGACAGAUGUGAAAUCCCCGGGCUCAACCUGGGAACUGCAUUUGUGACUGUAUAGCUAGAGUACGGUAGAGGGGGAUGGAAUUCCGCGUGUAGCAGUGAAAUGCGUAGAUAUGCGGAGGA
This 700-nucleotide ribosomal RNA is filed under the name uncultured bacterium. RNAcentral describes it as "bacterial SSU rRNA". It matches the Rfam family "Bacterial small subunit ribosomal RNA", at positions 8 to 705 of the family's 1533-position model. The record is from RNAcentral.